This 649-nucleotide ribosomal RNA is filed under the name uncultured Bacillota bacterium. RNAcentral describes it as "bacterial SSU rRNA". It matches the Rfam family "Bacterial small subunit ribosomal RNA", at positions 8 to 611 of the family's 1533-position model. Lineage: Bacteria; Bacillati; Bacillota. The record is from RNAcentral.
AGAGUUUGAUCAUGGCUCAGGAUGAACGCUGGGGGCAUGGCUAAUACAUGGAAGUCGAACGAACUAGCCCUGAACUAAUGAAGUGGUUGGACAGAUUUAGGGACGGAAUUUCUAGUUAGUGGGGGACGGGUGAGUAACACGUAGGUAAUCUACCUUUUAGAUUGGAAUAACUAUUAGAAAUGAUAGCUAAUACUGAAUAGGAUUAUUAAUCGGAUGAUUGAUAAUUUAAAGAAGCUUCGGGUUCACUAAAAGAUGAGGCUGGGGUGGAUUAGCUAGUUGGAGAGGUAAAGGGUCCCCCAGGGUACGAUGGAUAGGCCGGACUGAGAGGUUGAACGGGCCCACUGGAACGAGACCGGUCAGACACUACGGUUGGGAGCGUAGGGAAUUUUUCGAAUGGACGAAAGUCUGACGGAGCAUGGCCGGUGAGGGAUGAAGGUUUUCGGAUUGUAAACCUCUGUUGUAAGGGAAGAACAGUUAUAGUAGGAAAUGGGCUAUAAUUUGACGGUACCUUACCAGAAAGGGACGGGCUAACUACGUGGCAGGCAGGCCGGCGGUAAUACGUAGGUCCCGAGGCGUUAUCCGGAAUUAUUGGGGCGUAAAGGGUACGUAGGGCGGUUAGAUAAGUUUAAUGUUAAAUACAAUGGGCUCA